Molecule: ribosomal RNA, 224 nt
Filed under: uncultured bacterium
Lineage: Bacteria
Description: partial 16S ribosomal RNA
Rfam family: Bacterial small subunit ribosomal RNA
Source: RNAcentral
UACGAAGGGGGCUAGCGUUGCUCGGGAAUGACUGGGCGUAAAGGGCGCGUAGGCGGAUGGCACAGUCAGAUGUGAAAUUCCCGGGCUUAACCUGGGGGCUGCAUUUGAUACGUGUUGUCUAGAGUGAGGAAGAGGUUGUGGAAUUCCCAGUGUAGAGGUGAAAUUCGUAGAUAUUGGGAAGAACACCGGUGGCGAAGGCGGCGACCUGGUCCUUUUACUGACGC